RNAcentral lists this ribosomal RNA (103 nucleotides) under Periophthalmus magnuspinnatus. The record is from RNAcentral. Lineage: Eukaryota; Metazoa; Chordata; Actinopteri; Gobiiformes; Gobiidae.
UUGUAUGCAUAUAUGCUUUUUAAACCUAUUUACCGAAGUUAAGCAAGGUUGGGCUUGGUUAGUACUUGGAUGGGAGACUGCUGGGAAUACCAGACGCCACAGU